Long non-coding RNA from Micropterus dolomieu (smallmouth bass), 2340 nucleotides. RefSeq lists it as uncharacterized. Lineage: Eukaryota; Metazoa; Chordata; Actinopteri; Centrarchiformes; Centrarchidae. The record is from RefSeq and is a predicted model, not a curated record. The transcript has 4 exons.
GUCUCUUUUUGCAGGAGGCUGCUGUCGAGGCCAGGUCAGACCUCCCUGCGGGCUGGCUCCCGUGUUUCCCCUUUAGUUUGGUCUUCUUUGGUUGGACUUUUGCUUUGUGAUAAAUGGCUUUAAGGAAAUGUUUCUGAUUCAGGAUGAGAAUUACACCAGUUGUCCUUCUGCUUGAAGUGCAGUUUGCCUGCAGUGUGACUGUGAUUGCUGUCCUUUUUUUCUAUGUGGAUCGAAGGAAAGUUUGUGAACAUUGCAAAGAAUAUGGCGAUGGUGGAAAUAAAAGUAAAACUAUCACUGCAGCAUACUGUUGCAGUCACAGAGGUACUGUAUUUAAAAGAAAACACAUAACCUACUGGACGAAUCUGCUCAUCCUCUUUUGCUGGUUAGAAUGUUAGUUUGGUUUUCUUGUCACAGUGUCACAUUAUUGUAAACCGGAGGUCACUAUAUGUCAUGUUUUGAAUGUAAAAUAUAAUUUUGCACACUAGAUAAUACCUUUUAUUGUCGAAUUAAGGAAAUACAACCCGUCCCUGUUUGUCCCUGUGUGUCCCACCACAAAGUGCUAUUGCUGCAGGAAAUGCUGAACACCUAAUUUUAGAUGUUAUAUGCUUUGCACAAGCACAACUGUGCUAGUUUCUAUUCACAUGUAUGUGAAUUGAAACUAGCACAGUUGUCCUUGAGGAAAGCACCCUUGACUGCUCAAAGCUCAGUUGAACACUGAAGCUGUUUUGGGCACAUUAUAGGAGUGAUUGUGUUUGACUGUAAAGCCAAAAACUUACUAUUCAUCUGUGUUCUUUAAUAAGAGAUGACAAAAAUCAGACUGAUAUGACAGAAGUAACCAUAUCCCUCAUGUGUACACACAUUCUAAAGGCUUUGUUUUUAUUUUAACAGGAACAGUGAGUGAUUCCCAUCAUCUUGGACACAACAGUUCAACUGUAAAUCAAUGAAAUAACCUGCUGAAUGGUGAAGCAAAGGCAGCAAACUAUGCAGCACAAGAUAUCUCUUCAAGGAAAGUGAAAAGACAGAAGAACAGCGAAUACUUGACAGAGUGUAUGUACUCUGUUGUUAAAGCAGAUGUCAGCCACACCCCUCUCUAUAACGUCUUUUCCACUGCAUGGUACCAGCUCGACUCGACUCGCCUUGACUCUACUCGCCUUUUUUUGGUUUUCCACUGUGGAAAAGUUGUACCUGUACCUGCUACCAGGUACUUUUUUUCCUCCAUCGAGGUUCCAAGCGAGCUGAGGCAAUACUAAAAUGUGAUGUGAAAACACGGCAACUACUGAUUGGUCAGAGCGAAUCAUCACCAUUCACUGCAUCAUCAUUUCACACACCAGACAGAUGCCAGCUACAGAAAGUUUUACAUUUUAUAAUUUUCAUACGUUAUUUCAUCACUAAAUCCACUUCUGAGAAAUCAACUGUGUAGAGGUGAGAAAUCAACUGUGUGGAGGUGAGAAAUCAACUGUGUAGAUUUUGUAUAUUGCGAAAAGUGAUGGCGGAACAAAAAUGUGCUUGAAAGUUUUCGGAAUUGAGGAUUGAAGUGGUGGUGGGGGAUGCCUGCGCCAACCCGCGGGAGGAGCCCACGAGGCGGCCCGCUCACAGAGCCCUCUGGUCCCACGGUCACACAGACCGCUCCAGCAAAAACGGCAGAGGAAAACCAAGCUGUGAGGUUUUCAUACCGCUUAUCUGUCUUUAUAUUUGGAAUAAUGUUUGAACGUUUUAGGUUUUAACUAGUGCUGUCAGCAUUAACGCAUUAAUAGCAAUGAGAAUAAAGACAGAUCAUAACGUUUUAAUUGAGUUAAUCACGUUAUACGCGUGUGUCAAAUAUUCUUAUUACACCGUCACUGGUGCUGUUACCAAAGAAUCUUUGCCUAAAAGCUAUUUUGACCGUUGAGCGCACCCUUACUACCUGCCACCUCCUGCUGUAGCCAUCGUGCAUUGCAUUUUUUCACUGGCUGUAAUUAUAGGACACAUCAUUGUACCCUUUACUACAAAGCUAAAUGGCCCUCUCUCUAUGCUAGAAGGUACACUCAUUGGAUGUUUCACGCACUUCUUGGACUAGCUCCUACCUCUUUGAGUAUCUUUUUAACAAGUACUCAAGGCCAUUAUGGAUUACGUUCAAAGGACGUUUUCCACUUGUUGGUCCUCCAUGUCCGAACAGAAUUAGGUAAAAAAGCCUUCAUGUUUGCUGCACCUUCUGCUUGGAACCUUCUUCAGAACUUGUUGAAACUGCCUUUAUUUCUUAUAGACAGUUUGUUUCAACUCUGAAAGAUCAUUUCAUCUCAUUGGUUUCAACUGAAUUUAAAAAUAAUGUAGCUAUGGAGUAUUUUGUUAGUUAUGCACUUU